RNAcentral lists this ribosomal RNA (967 nucleotides) under uncultured bacterium. RNAcentral describes it as "bacterial SSU rRNA". It matches the Rfam family "Bacterial small subunit ribosomal RNA", at positions 60 to 1073 of the family's 1533-position model. The record is from RNAcentral.
AGUCGAACGAACUAUUUAUAGUUAGUGGCAAACGGGUAAGUAACGCGUGGGAAUGUACCCAUAGGUGGGGGAUAACUGUUGGAAACGACAGCUAAUACCGCAUAUCUUAGAGAUAAGAAAGGCGCAAGUCGCCUGUGGAGCAGCCCGCGUCAGAUUAGGUAGUUGGUGGGGUAAUGGCCUACCAAGCCUGUGAUCUGUAGCUGGUCUUAGAGGAUGAUCAGCCACACUGGGACUGAGACACGGCCCAGACUCCUACGGGGGGCAGCAGUGGGGAAUAUUGGACAAUGGACGAAAGUCUGAUCCAGCAAUACCGCGUGAGUGAUGAAGGCCUUCGGGUUGUAAAGCUCUUUUGGCAGGGAAGAUGAUGACGGUACCUGCAGAAUAAGCACCGGCUAACUCUGUGCCAGCAGCCGCGGUAAUACAGAGGGUGCUAGCGUUGUUCGGAAUUACUGGGCGUAAAGGGCGCGUAGGCGGUCUAUUAAGUCAAAGGUGAAAUCCCCGAGCUCAACUUGGGAACUGCCUUUGAUACUGGUAGGCUAGAGAUCGGGAGAGGAAAGUGGAAUUCCUAGUGUAGAGGUGAAAUUCUUAGAUAUUAGGAGGAACACCAGAGGCGAAGGCGGCUUUCUGGACCGUUUCUGACGCUGAGGCGCGAAGGCGUGGGCAGCGAAAGGGAUUAGAUACCCCUGUAGUCCAUGCAGUAAACGAUGAUUAUUAGACGUUGGGGCGCUAGCCUCAGUGUUGAAGCUAACGCAUUAAAUAAUCCGCCUGGGGAGUACGGUCGCAAGAUUAAAACUCAAAGGAAUUGACGGGGGCCCGAACAAGCGGUGGAGCAUGUGGUUUAAUUCGACGAAACGCGCAGAACCUUACCAGCCCUUGACAUGGUCGAUAGAUACCUAGAGAUAGGAUUCGCUAGCUUGCUAGUGACACACAGGUGCUGCAUGGCUGUCGUCAGCUCGUGUCGUGAGAU